RNAcentral lists this unclassified non-coding RNA (204 nucleotides) under soil metagenome. Its description in RNAcentral is "partial contains 5.8S ribosomal RNA, internal transcribed spacer 2, and large subunit ribosomal RNA". The record is from RNAcentral.
AACAAGGCGUACCUGCGGACCUGCGGAAGGAUCAUUAUCGAGUUGCAAAACUCCAACCCUUUGUGAACAUACCUCAGUCGUUGCUUCGGCGGUGGACGGCCUGUUUUUCGGAACGGCCGGAAGCCGCCGGAGGUUCCAAACUCGUAUUUUUUAGUGUAUCUCUGAGCCUGAAAACAAAUAAUCAAAACUUUUAGCAAUGGAUCU